CGGACGGGUGAGUAAUGCUUGGGAAUCUAGCUUAUGGGGGGGAGUAACUACGGGAAACUGUAGCUAAUACCGCGUAAUAUCGAAAGAUUAAAGUGUGGGACCUUCGGGCCACAUGCCAUAGGAUGAGCCCAAGUGGGAUUAGGUAGUUGGUGAGGUAAAGGCUCACCAAGCCGACGAUCUCUAGCUGGUCUGAGAGGAUGACCAGCCACACUGGGACUGAGACACGGCCCAG
Molecule: ribosomal RNA, 232 nt
Filed under: uncultured bacterium
Lineage: Bacteria
Description: partial 16S ribosomal RNA
Rfam family: Bacterial small subunit ribosomal RNA
Source: RNAcentral